Molecule: RNA transcript, 2763 nt
Organism: Nomascus leucogenys (northern white-cheeked gibbon)
Lineage: Eukaryota; Metazoa; Chordata; Mammalia; Primates; Hylobatidae
Gene: NAA10
Gene name: N(alpha)-acetyltransferase 10, NatA catalytic subunit
Exons: 8
Source: RefSeq, a predicted model, not a curated record
CGGCGCGCACCGCCCCUUCCGCCGCCGCCCAGCGAGCCCAGCCCCGGUCCCAGCCCCGGCCGUCCCGGCGUCGCUUCGGAGCGCGGCGGCAGCUGACUGCGCCUUCACGAUUCGCUGGGACCCGCGAGCCCCGCCGCCGUUAUGAACAUCCGCAAUGCGAGGCCAGAGGACCUAAUGAACAUGCAGCACUGCAACCUUCUCUGCCUGCCCGAGAACUACCAGAUGAAAUACUACUUCUACCAUGGCCUUUCCUGGCCCCAGCUCUCUUACAUUGCUGAGGACGAGAAUGGGAAGAUUGUGGGGUAUGUCCUGGCCAAAAUGGAAGAGGACCCAGAUGAUGUGCCCCAUGGACAUAUCACCUCAUUGGCUGUGAAGCGUUCCCACCGGCGCCUCGGUCUGGCUCAGAAACUGAUGGACCAGGCCUCUCGAGCCAUGAUAGAGAACUUCAAUGCCAAAUAUGUCUCCCUGCAUGUCAGGAAGAGUAACCGGGCCGCCCUGCACCUCUAUUCCAACACCCUCAACUUUCAGUCGGGGGUGGGCCGGCUGUGGGGAGGAGGCUGUGGACCCCAGCGCUGCCAGGAUACCUCCGCAUUCACUCGGCGGCUGAUGGUUGAAAAGCCGGCAUGGAGACAGCACCUGCCUGCUGAAACGUGCUCCGUGUGUGUUGUGAUGGAGGAGCUCUGGCCCAUGCUGGCUGAGGCUGGUGAAGGGCACAUGGGCUGUUUAGUAAUGUUUGGGAAUAGAGAGGUGUGGGUCCCUGGCGUGAGCAGAUGCUGAGGAGCAGGACUCAAGCAUGACCAAGCACCUAGAAUAAUCCAAGAGAGAGCAGAAUCAAGGAGAAUGCACAUUCAGGAAGGCAGGGCCAGUGGCCAGGCAGCCUAGUGGAUGGGGCAGGUCUGCCUGAGGACCAGGAGGCCCCAUGUGCCUGGCACACUAGAGAGAACCUGGCAGUUGGCAUGCCCAGUAGACAGUGGAAAAAAGUGCUUGCAAGUGAAGCUGGGGUGGGCUGCCUGUGGAGGGACAUGAACCGCACUCAGCCCCUGUUUGGAUGAAGAAGAGGGACUGUUGGGAAGGGCGGUGGCCUCUGGGCUGGAUGCUGGCAAGAGGGAUCUGUGACCCAGAUGACGAUGUCUGGUGGGAAUUGCUUUAUAGCUAAGUCAACAAUCCUCAUGUCUUAGGCCUGGCAGGGCCAGCCUAGGCCAUUGAGUCCAGCUCCCCUUCCAGGGACAUGGCCACCCGAGUCUGCACACACACAUCCCCAGUGCAGACACGGCCCCAGAGCUGCUCAGGCAGAGCCCGUGCUGCCUAGGGAUGACUCCCCUAAACAGGGCUCACCGUCCUUCCUGGGUUCUGAUGGCUGUUGUGAGGCAGCUCAGUAAGGGACAGGUCGCAGGGCAGGGAGGGAAGGGGAAGGCUGAAUUCAGGGCUUCAGCUCCCAAGAAGCCACAGAAAUGGAUCCUUAGUAGCCAGGCUAAGGACACAGAACGGGGGCAGGACAGGGGUGGGGCAGGCCGCCGUUUCCUGGAGCCUUUGCUGGAGAGAACAGAGGGCAGGUCACACUGGACUUGCUGUCUCAGGAUGGAGCCUUCAGGGAGAAAACAUGGCACCUUGCUCCAGUAGCCACGAUACCAGGAGUGGAGGAGGGUGUCCCCGGGGUACGGGUCUUCCUCCUUGCUCUCUGCCUUCUGCCCCCAGGAUCAGUGAAGUGGAGCCCAAAUACUACGCAGAUGGGGAGGACGCCUAUGCCAUGAAGCGGGACCUCACUCAGAUGGCUGACGAGCUGAGGCGGCACCUGGAGCUGAAGGAGAAGGGCAGGCACGUGGUGCUGGGUGCCAUCGAGAACAAGGUGGAGAGCAAAGGCAGUUCACCUCCGAGCUCAGGAGAGGCCUGUCGCGAGGAGAAGGGCCUGGCUGCCGAGGAUAGUGGUGGGGACAGCAAGGACCUCAGCGAGGUCAGCGAGACCACAGAGAGCACAGAUGUCAAGGACAGCUCAGAGGCCUCCGACUCAGCCUCCUAGAGCCUGCCCCAUCCCCUUCUCACCCCACGAGCUUUCACAAUAAAUUCGCUCCGUGGCACUGGGGAACUUCGUGUGUGUGCGCGCGCACAUUUAGAGGGUGUGUUUCUCCAGGUCCUCUGGUGGGGUGUGAGCCUCGGCCUUUUGACCCAGAGCAUCCUGCCAGGCUUGAGUACAAGGGAAGAGCUUUGGAGGUGGGACUCCCUAGUCUCAUGACCUUCAGCAGCUGUGGCCGCGGGGAAGGAGGCCCUGGACUUAUGGGAGAGACCCUGCCUUGGAGGUCUGCUUGGCCACGCUGAAUGUGUUUUGUGGCACAAGCCUGGGCCGCUCAGGCUCAAAGCUCAACAGCAGGGCUCCCACUCUUGGUGGCCUUCAGCCCUCUUCCCACCUUCACCUUCAGACCUUCUCUCCCUAAUCACACCUGCUUGGGGCUACAGCAGCUCCGCGGCAUACCCGUGGGCUCCAGAUGUGGACAUCCAACUGCUCAUUGGGCUUAUCUACAGCUGUCCUGUCUUGAGUAAGGACUCAGCCAGAUGCCCCAUCAACGGUCCUUGAGUCCUCCCUCCCCUGCCACCCUAACGGUCAAUGAGUCCGUGAUACCUCUUGAGUCUGCUCCCUAACCUGAGUUUGCAUUUGGAAAUAAUUUAUUUUUAGUACAAUUCCCCGCGUUUCCCCUAUUGACAUUUUGUAUUAGUUGAUGUAUUUGUUAUUGUUGAUGCGCCAAUACUGAUAAGUUAUUGCAAACUAUA